CGGACCCACGGCACACUAAAACAUGUCCUCACUCUAUUCUCUCAUUACUCUCACACUGGGAAACACUGCCGCCCAGCUUUCUCAUGCAGAGCCUACAUUGAUGCAGUUUCUUCAUUCGACUGGCUUUUGACUUACCCACCCAGACUAACCUCAGUUAACCUAGCCAUGCGAGAAAAGAACAGAAAUAACAUAAUAAAAAUGAGGACAAAAUAAAGCCACUGUCUGAAAGCAUGAUAAGUGAUCAAAAAACAUUCUUGUGUCCCUGAAAAAGGAUGUGCAGCAAUCCCAGCAGCCCCCGCUCUUUGACAUUUCACCGUGAUUGACGUCAUUAGUGAAAAGGGUGUAGCUUGGGUAAAGAUCUGGGCUGGUAACCAAAAGAUCAAAGGUUUUCUUGCUGAAAUCACUUUGGAUAAAAGCGUCGGCUAAAUGACAGAUGAGUAAUUUGCUGUGUCUUUUUGCUUGUUAGAAUUUUUGGGUUUAUUUUUUUAAUUUUUUUAUUGGCUUAUUGACUUUGGUGUCUAUGGGCAAUUAAAGGACUAGAUUGAAGGGUCUUGCCCAGUCAAAUAACUAUAUAAUAUUAGAUAAGGGGAAUAGUAGAAUACUAACUUGUACCAUAACUGGAUCAGAAAGCAGAAGGUUUGUUGUUUUGGUUCAUAAGCAAUACAAUUUAUUAUACAUGAAACUUCCUGAAGCAUGCAUGUGGAUGUUUACAAUGCAGUUGCAUUUAGAUACUGUGACUUCUCUCUUGUUUAGAAAUGUUGAGUAUAAAUGUUGUAUUUUGAGUUCACCCAAGUAUAAUCAUAUUUAAACACCCACAUAAAAAUGCAUUUCUCUCUGUCUCAUUGUUUCCUCAUCAAAUAUAUAAUGCCUGCCUUACACACACAUCUUAAAUUCAGGCAGUUUUUGAUUCCUGUGCUGUUCUUUCCUUUGAAGCUCCACCCACUUCCCAUUUCUAGACAGUCUACUUCUGAACUUCCUGUGAUGUGCAAGCCAAGACUUACAAUUUGGUGCUGGUUAUCAGGAAGACAGGAUGCCAUGCAAAUUAAAGGGUAGUGAAAUAAACAGAGUGAUAGCGUCUGUUCCAGAAGGCACAACAUGCAAACAUCUGCUGUGAACUGGUCUGAGAAUCAGUUGGAUCCGCUCCCAUUACCCUCCAACAAAUAUUUACUGCCCUAUUAGGACCUUCCCUAGUACCCAUCAUAACAGAGCUGCCCACUAAAGGGCCUGAUGGUGAACCCUAAGAAGCUGCCAUGUUAGAGCUGCUGCAGGCCCCGGUUCUGUGGGAAUAGCAAAAUGAACGCCAUUACACCUGACAGCAUAUUCAGUUCCUCAGACAUCAUUGUGACAGACCUGGUCCCAUGAUCGGCCUAAUAAUUAAAGCUAUCCUGCAACCGGCGCCGUACUGCUGUGCUGCAUGCGCAUCAGGGGCCCAUGACAUGAUACAGAGGGACAGCUUAACUAUUAAAUAUCCAUCACGCCACGCCACAUCAGUCCUAAUGCAAUCAGAAACACAUGACUACAUCGCCCGGGCCCCCACUUCAAUCCACAAUGAUUAAAUGACAGUUCGAUUUGAUUGGGAAGAGGGGGGAUCUACUGUAGCUGCGCAGACUUAUUCGAGGCUUUGUGUACUUCAGAGAGAACGCACGUGGGCUGUGGUCUUUUUGCUGUAUUAUCAUUUUAAUGAAGCAGGGUAUUUCUUUUGUGGUCGGGAGGCUCUAAUGCAGUUGUCCAAGACUCCCCUUUCAUCUGUCUUCUUCAAAUGCUCGAGGUUGUUAAACAAAUGGAUGUGUCUGAGUAUAUAACGCUGAUGUGGCCAGGCUGUUGUUGACUGGGCCAAUUAGGGCUCAGAGAGAAAAGAAUAAGGCAUGUCUGUUCACUCACUCAAACCGUCAUACAAUACAGUCUGGCUGCUUUGUGUUUAUUAAAAUCACCUGGAUCCUUAAGGAUUUUGUAGAACACACCGUAGUAUGACAUUGCUAUCUGACGAUUUUCAUUAUCAGGACUUCCUGUACUGUUUUUAUCUUGCUAAUUAGCAUCUAAUUAUAAUAAAAAUGUUUUCCUCCUACCUGAUAUGUCAUGAAUUACCCGAUACCGUUGUCUCCGUGUUUAAAUGAGUGAGCAUCUUUAGAAAAAUGUUUAAUUUUACACCCAAGAGAUGAUAAUGAUGCAUACCUGUUUUCUUUAGUCGUAAUGAGAAUGCUGAAAUACGACAACGCUGAUUUCUCAAUGUGCUAAUUACUGAGCAAGUGCUGAUGCGCUAGUGGCUAAAGAUGUAUCCAAGUAAUAUUGUCAGUCAUGUUCUUUUCCAUAACGUCCACAACAAAAAUAGUUUUUGAAGAAAUAUGGUAGUUACGCUUUAAAAUAUAACAUUUUGAAAAUGCAUAGCAAGAAUUGCAUUAAUACAAUUUAAGAGUGUUAAUUUCAUUCAAUAAAUGCAAAUUUGAUGUUUAUUUAUUAAAGUUAAAUGCACUCAUAAUGGUUGUUCGCUCUUUGUAAUUGUAAUUCAUUUGUCUCCUUAUUCCCACUCUUUGAGCUUAGUAAAAAUAUAUUCCUUGUAUUUGGUUUUGCAGACAUAAUAUAUAUAUUUUUUUUGUAACAUAAAAUACAUAAUUUUUAACUGUUUUCUCCUUCAGAAGUUUAAUACGUUUUGUGGCUGUUUUAAGAUCUGAUUUGAUAGCAGUAUUAAAAAGUAAAAAAUUGUUCCUGGUUGUAUGAAUAUCUCUAGACAAGACAGAGGAAAGGUCUAAUGAAGGAAAGCAGAGUGCAAAUAUGUACAUUUAGCAUAAAUAUUCUGUUUUAUUAUUGUUUUUGUAUUUUUUUUUUUUUCCAUGCUUUUAACAGUUGUCUUGCUUGGUGGUGUUUACAUAUAAUCUCAUGUCCCUUUUGAAGGCAGUCCUUCCUUGUUUGUAAAAUAAAUUUGUAUUGACUAAUAUUGGUAUGUAAAUAUAAAAUAUAACAGUUCACAUUAUAGAGCUUUUGAGUACGCUGUUACAUGUAUGACAUACCACCUUUGUAUACUUACAUUUACUUUUCACAUGAUUAAGUUAUAAAUGUAAUUGACACUAUAAUAUGACUAAUAAGAUAUUUGACAGAAUUUAUUAAAACGAUUUUCUAAAUAAAUGAAUGAAAC
Molecule: long non-coding RNA, 3130 nt
Organism: Cyprinus carpio carpio
Lineage: Eukaryota; Metazoa; Chordata; Actinopteri; Cypriniformes; Cyprinidae
Source: Ensembl